GACGAACGCUGGCGGCGUGCCUAAUACAUGCAAGUAGAACGCUGAAGGAGGAGCUUGCUUCUCUGGAUGAGUUGCGAACGGGUGAGUAACGCGUAGGUAACCUGCCUGGUAGCGGGGGAUAACUAUUGGAAACGAUAGCUAAUACCGCAUAAGAGUAGAUGUUGCAUGACAUUUGCUUAAAAGGUGCAAUUGCAUCACUACCAGAUGGACCUGCGUUGUAUUAGCUAGUUGGUGGGGUAACGGCUCACCAAGGCGACGAUACAUAGCCGACCUGAGAGGGUGAUCGGCCACACUGGGACUGAGACACAGCCCAGACUCCUACGGGAGGCAGCAGUAGGGAAUCUUCGGCAAUGGAAGGAAGUCUGACCGAGCAACGCCGCGUGAGUGAAGAAGGUUUUCGGAUCGUAAAGAUCUGUUGUAAGAGAAGAACGAGUGUGAGAGUGGAAAGUUCACACUGUGGCGGUAUCUUACUAGAAAGGGACGGCUAACUACGUG
This 495-nucleotide ribosomal RNA is filed under the name uncultured bacterium. Its description in RNAcentral is "partial 16S ribosomal RNA". It matches the Rfam family "Bacterial small subunit ribosomal RNA", at positions 28 to 507 of the family's 1533-position model. The record is from RNAcentral.